CAACACGAGGGCAGGGCUGCUGCCAUGGCGCUGCUGUGGCGCUGCGGGGUGGCACUGCUGGCACUGCAAAACGCCACUGCUGGCACUGAGGACUCUAUUGCUACUGUGGCACAGCUGGCACUGCAAAAUGGCACUGCUGGCAAUGAGGACUCUGUUGCUACUGUGGCACUGCUGGCAUUGCAGGCACUGUUGGUACUGUGGCACUGCUGGCACUGAGGACACUGCUGCUACUGUGGCACUGCUGGCACUGCAAAAUGGCACUGCUGGCACUGAGGACACUGUUGCUACUAUGGCACUGCUGGCACUGAGGACACUGCUGCUACUAUGGCACUGCUGGCACUGCAAAAUGGCACUGCUGGCACUGAGGACACUGUUGCUACUGUGGCACUGCUGGCACUGCAUUGUGGCCCUGCUGGCAUUGCAGGCACUGUUGCUACUGUGGCACUGCUGGCACUGCAAAAUGGCACUGCUGGCACUGAGGACAUUGUUGCUACUGUGGCAUUGCAGGCACUGUUGCUACUAUGGCACUGCUGGCACUGAAGACUCUGUUGCUACUGUGGCACUGCUGGCAUUGCAGGCACUGUUGCUACUGUGGCACUGCUGGCACUGCAUUGUGGCACUGCUGGCAUUGAGGACACUGUUGGUACUGUGGCACUGCUGGCACUGCAGGCACUGUUGGUACUGUGGCACUGCUGGCACUAAAAUACAACAGGCACAGUGGCACAGCAGAACUGGCACUGUGGCAUGGCAGUAUGGCACAGCUGGCAUUGUAGCAUGGCACAGGAGCCAACACAGCACAGCAGGCACUGUGGCACAGCUGGCAGCCCAGCACAGCUGACACUCUGGCACAGCAGGCAGGAUGGCACAGCUGGCACUGCAGCCUGGCAGAGCUGGCACUAUGGCACAGGUGGCUCUCUGGCACUCCUGACAUGGCAGACAGGCAUAGCAGGCAGGAUGGCACAGCUGGCACAGCAGCACAGCUGGUACCUACAGCACAGCUGGCACUGCAUCCUGGCACAGCUGCCACUGCGGCCCCACACAACUGGCACAGCAUCCCGGCACUGCAGCAUGGCAAAGAUGGCACAGCUGGUGCUGCAUCCCAGCACAGCUGGCACCCAUGGCACAGUAGACACUGUGGCACUGCUGGCACUGCAUCUUGGCACGGCUCUCUGGCACGGCUGGCACUGCAACAUGGAAAAUCUGGCACUGCAACACGGCACAGCUGGCACUGAAGUCUGGCCCUGAGGCACAGCUGGCACUGUGGCACUGCCAGCGCUAUGGCACAGCUGGCUCUGCGUCCUGGCACAGUUGGCACUGCAGUACAGCUGGCACUCCGGCACAGUUUGAGGGUCUGUGGGGGGUGGGGGGGAGGAGAUCCAACCCCACAAUUUGAGGCUCCAUUGGGGGGCGGGGGGCUCCAACCCCACAGUUUGGGGGUCUGGGGGGGUUGAGGAGCUCUGACCCCACAGUUUGAGGGUCU
Molecule: long non-coding RNA, 1480 nt
Filed under: Phasianus colchicus (ring-necked pheasant)
Lineage: Eukaryota; Metazoa; Chordata; Aves; Galliformes; Phasianidae
Description: lncRNA (ENSPCLG00000015620.1)
Source: RNAcentral